GCGGACGGGUGAGUAAUACGUAGGAAUCUGCCCUGUAGUGGGGGACAACCUGGGGAAACUCAGGCUAAUACCGCAUACGCUCUACGGAGGAAAGCGGGGGACCUUCGGGCCUCGCGCUGUAGGAUGAGCCUACGUCCGAUUAGCUAGUUGGUAGGGUAAAGGCCUACCAAGGCGACGAUCGGUAGCUGGUCUGAGAGGAUGAUCAGCCACACUGGGACUGAGACACGGCCCAGACUCCUACGGGAGGCAGCAGUGGGGAAUAUUGGACAAUGGGGCAACCCUGAUCCAGCAAUGCCGCGUGUGUGAAGAAGGCCUGCGGGUUGUAAAGCACUUUCGGUGGGGAGGAAAAGCGAGGUGUGAAUAGCGCCUGGCCUUGACGUUACCCAUAGAAGAAGCACCGGCUAACUCCGUGCCAGCAGCCGCGGUAAUACGGAGGGUGCGAGCGUUAAUCGGAAUUACUGGGCGUAAAGGGCGCGUAGGCGGUCAGAUAAGUCAGAUGUGAAAGCCCCGGGCUCAACCUGGGAAUGGCAUUUGAUAC
RNAcentral lists this ribosomal RNA (538 nucleotides) under uncultured bacterium. RNAcentral describes it as "bacterial SSU rRNA". It matches the Rfam family "Bacterial small subunit ribosomal RNA", at positions 98 to 633 of the family's 1533-position model. The record is from RNAcentral.